Molecule: ribosomal RNA, 492 nt
Filed under: uncultured bacterium
Lineage: Bacteria
Description: partial 16S ribosomal RNA
Rfam family: Bacterial small subunit ribosomal RNA
Source: RNAcentral
AGUGAACGCUGGCGGUAGGCCUAACACAUGCAAGUCGAACGGCAGCACAGUAAGAGCUUGCUCUUACGGGUGGCGAGUGGCGGACGGGUGAGGAAUACAUCGGAAUCUACUUUUUCGUGGGGGAUAACGUAGGGAAACUUACGCUAAUACCGCAUACGACCUACGGGUGAAAGCAGGGGAUCUUCGGACCUUGUGCGAUUGAAUGAGCCGAUGUCGGAUUAGCUAGUUGGCGGGGUAAAGGCCCACCAAGGCGACGAUCCGUAGCUGGUCUGAGAGGAUGAUCAGCCACACUGGAACUGAGACACGGUCCAGACGCCUACGGGAGGCAGCAGUGGGGAAUAUUGGACAAUGGGCGCAAGCCUGAUCCAGCCAUACCGCGUGGGUGAAGAAGGCCUUCGGGUUGUAAAGCCCUUUUGUUGGGAAAGAAAAGCAGCAGGUUAAUACCCCGCUGUUCUGACGGUACCCAAAGAAUAAGCACCGGCUAACUUCGUG